CCAAUAGCGUAUAUUAAAGUUGUUGCAGUUAAAAAGCUCGUAGUUGAAUUUCGAGACCGGUUUACUGGUCGUGCUUUUGUACGUACUGGUAUUAUUGGUUUCUCCUUUCUGACGAAUCAUAAUGCCAUUAAUUUGGUGUUUUGGGGAAUCAGGACUGUUACUUUGAAAAAAUUAGAGUGUUUAAAGCAGGCUCACGCUUGAAUACAUUAGCAUGGAAUAACGGAAUAGGACGUUUGAUUUUAUUUUGUUGGUUUCUAGGAUCGACGUAAUGAUUAAUAGGGAUAGUUGGGGGCAUUAGUAUUCAAUUGUCAGAGGUGAAAUUCUUGGUUUUAUUGAAGACUAACUACUGCGAAAGCAUUUGCCAAGGAUGUUUUCAUUAAUCAAGAACGAAAGUUAGGGGAUCGAAGACGAUCAGAUACCGUCGUAGUCUUAACCAUAAACUAUGCCGACUAGGGAUCGGAUGAUGUUAAUUUUUUAAUGACUCAUUCGGCGCCUUACG
RNAcentral lists this ribosomal RNA (499 nucleotides) under uncultured Glomeromycotina. RNAcentral describes it as "partial small subunit ribosomal RNA". It matches the Rfam family "Eukaryotic small subunit ribosomal RNA", at positions 591 to 1092 of the family's 1831-position model. Lineage: Eukaryota; Fungi; Glomeromycota. The record is from RNAcentral.